RNAcentral lists this ribosomal RNA (301 nucleotides) under uncultured bacterium. RNAcentral describes it as "partial 16S ribosomal RNA". It matches the Rfam family "Bacterial small subunit ribosomal RNA", at positions 509 to 808 of the family's 1533-position model. The record is from RNAcentral.
CAGUAGCCACGGUAAUACGUAGGGUGCGAGCGUUAAUCGGAAUUACUGGGCGUAAAGCGUGCGCAGGCGGUUCGUUAAGACAGAUGUGAAAUCCCCCGGCUUAACCUGGGAACUGCAUUUGUGACUGGCGAGCUAGAGUAUGGCAGAGGGGGUAGAAUUCCACGUGUAGCAGUGAAAUGCGUAGAGAUGUGGAGGAAUACCGAUGGCGAAGGCAGCCCCCUGGGCCAAUACUGACGCUCAUGCACGAAAGCGUGGGGAGCAAACAGGAUUAGAUACCCCCGUAGUCCCUGUCUCUUAUACA